This 132-nucleotide microRNA precursor is filed under the name Vitis vinifera (wine grape). Its description in RNAcentral is "MIR845_2 microRNA precursor family". It matches the Rfam family "MIR845_2 microRNA precursor family". The record is from Rfam by way of RNAcentral. Lineage: Eukaryota; Viridiplantae; Streptophyta; Magnoliopsida; Vitales; Vitaceae.
AGAAUGCACAUUGAUUAUCCUUGGAGCCAUAGAAUAAACAAAACACCUUACAAAACCAAGUUAGCACAUCUUAGAAUGGUUCUCACAGGCUUACUAACCUAUGUCUUUGAUUCUAGUUGAUGGGAAAAUCCU